GAUGAACGCUGGCGGCGUGCUUAAUACAUGCAAGUCGAGCGAACAGACGAGGAGUUUGUUCCUUUCACGUUAGGGGAGGAGGGGUGAGACACACGUGGAAAACCUCCUUAUAAGACUGGGAUAAUUUGGGGAAACGGGCGCUAAUCCCGGAUAAUCUAUUGAACCGUAUGGUUCAUUGGUGAAAGACGGUUUUGCUGUCACUUAUAGAUGGUUCCGCGCCGCAUUAGCUAGUUGUUAAGUUAAAGGCUUUCCAAGGCAAGGAUGCGUAGCCGACCUGAGAGAGUGAUCGGCCACACUGGAACUUAGACACGGUCCAGACUCCUACGGGAGGCAGCAGUAGGGAAUCUUCCGCAAUGGGCGAAAGCCUGACGGAGCAACGCCGCGUGAGUGAUGAAGGUCUUCGGAGCGUAAAACUCUGUUAUUAGGGAAGAACAAAUGUGUAAGUAACUAUGCACGUCUUGACGGUACCUAAUCAGAAAGCCACGGCUAACUACGUG
RNAcentral lists this ribosomal RNA (497 nucleotides) under uncultured bacterium. RNAcentral describes it as "partial 16S ribosomal RNA". It matches the Rfam family "Bacterial small subunit ribosomal RNA", at positions 28 to 507 of the family's 1533-position model. The record is from RNAcentral.